UAGGGAAUCUUCCGCAAUGGGCGAAAGCCUGACGGAGCAACGCCGCGUGAGUGAUGAAGGUCUUCGGAUCGUAAAACUCUGAUAUUAGGGAAGAACAAAUGUGUAAGUAACUAUGCACGUCUUGACGGUACCUAAUCAGAAAGCCACGGCUAACUACGUGCCAGCAGCCGCGGUAAUACGUAGGUGGCAAGCGUUAUCCGGAAUUAUUGGGCGUAAAGCGCGCGUAGGCGGUUUUUUAAGUCUGAUGUGAAAGCCCACGGCUCAACCGUGGAGGGUCAGUGGAAACUGGAAAACUUGAGUGCAGAAGAGGAAAGUGGAAUUCCAUGUGUAGCGGUGAAAUGCGCAGAGAUAUGGAGGAACACCAGUGGCGAAGGCGACUUUCUGGUCUGUAACUGACGCUGAUGUGCGAAAGCGUGGGGAUCAAACAGG
RNAcentral lists this ribosomal RNA (429 nucleotides) under Actinomycetes bacterium. RNAcentral describes it as "Actinobacteria bacterium partial 16S ribosomal RNA". It matches the Rfam family "Bacterial small subunit ribosomal RNA", at positions 355 to 776 of the family's 1533-position model. The record is from RNAcentral. Lineage: Bacteria; Bacillati; Actinomycetota; Actinomycetes.